AACGAACGCUGGCGGCAUGCCUAACACAUGCAAGUCGAACGAGACCCCUGACUUCGGUUGGCGGGUCUAGUGGCGCACGGGUGCGUAACGCGUGGGAAUCUGCCCUUGGGUUCGGAAUAACUCAGAGAAAUUUGAGCUAAUACCGGAUGAUGACGAAAGUCCAAAGAUUUAUCGCCCAGGGAUGAGCCCGCGUAAGAUUAGCUUGUUGGUGGGGUAAUGGCCUACCAAGGCGACGAUCUUUAGCUGGUCUGAGAGGAUGAUCAGCCACACUGGGACUGAGACACGGCCCAGACUCCUACGGGAGGCAGCAGUGGGGAAUAUUGGACAAUGGGCGGCAAGCCUGAUCCAGCAAUGCCGCGUGAGUGAUGAAGGCCUUAGGGUUGUAAAGCUCUUUUACCUAGGGAUGAUAAUGACAGUACCUGGAGAAUAAGCUCCGGCUAACUCCGUG
RNAcentral lists this ribosomal RNA (448 nucleotides) under uncultured bacterium. RNAcentral's name for it is "bacterial SSU rRNA". It matches the Rfam family "Bacterial small subunit ribosomal RNA", at positions 29 to 507 of the family's 1533-position model. The record is from RNAcentral.